UACGGGGGGUGCAAGCGUUAAUCGGAAUUACUGGGCGUAAAGCGCGCGUAGGCGGUUUGAUCAGUCGGAUGUGAAAUCCCCGGGCUCAACCUGGGAAUUGCAUUCGAUACUGUCAAGCUAGAAUAUGGGAGAGGCAAGUGGAAUUUCCGGUGUAGCGGUGAAAUGCGUAGAGAUCGGAAGGAACACCAGUGGCGAAGGCGGCUUGCUGGCCCAAUAUUGACGCUGAGGUGCGAAAGCGUGGGUAGCGAACAGG
This 253-nucleotide ribosomal RNA is filed under the name uncultured bacterium. RNAcentral's name for it is "partial 16S ribosomal RNA". It matches the Rfam family "Bacterial small subunit ribosomal RNA", at positions 524 to 776 of the family's 1533-position model. The record is from RNAcentral.